AAUAAAGUACCUACUUAGGAUUUACAUUGAUGAAGUAACCAUGCAUACCUGCCUUUAUUA
RNAcentral lists this transfer RNA (60 nucleotides) under Pseudoniphargus gorbeanus. Its description in RNAcentral is "tRNA-Ile". Lineage: Eukaryota; Metazoa; Arthropoda; Malacostraca; Amphipoda; Allocrangonyctidae. The record is from RNAcentral.